AAGGAAGUCUGUACAGCGAUUGCAGUAGCCUUACACUAUAUGUUCCUAACCGACUUUUGUUUGAUGCUAGCUGAGGGAAUUCAAAUAGUGAGAAUGGUUGUCAUAGUAUUUUCAACAAGAUCUAUUAUUCAUUGGUUGUUACCUCUUUGCUGGAGUUAGUAUCCUGCUUUAGAUAUUCAUUUACGUCGUCUACUUUUGACAUUUAGUUCUUAUUUGAAUAUUGCCAAAACAGUUUCAUAACAAGUAUAUACAUAUAAGCAACCAUUUUUCGUUUUUUCGUUUCUCACGAUUAUCAAUAAAUGUUUGUUAGAAAACUUUUUUAGAACAACGGUUGUACAAUAAACAAACAAGUUUUUCUUCAUGCUUUUGCAUAUACUAUUGUGUCAAAACGAUACAAGAUUUGGUCGCAAAAUUAAAAAUUGUAGUUGAACAGAUAUUCUCAAAUUGAAUUAAAAUCAGUAGGCAAUACGUGUAUUUCAUGCGCAAAAGAUUAAAUUUCUUAAAAAUACAUGUAUAUAAAUUCUACACAAAGUUAUGUUAUUAUAAUGCAGUUGAAAUAUACGUGAUACUUCCUAGACAUCACCGGGACAAGUAAAUAAAAUAACAUUGGAUAGGUUUGAAUAAAAACUUCUUUAUUUCUAGUUGCACCUGUUAUUAUUGUUGGAAUUUCGGCCGGCGUGACCCAACUAGAAGGUUAUGGCAACUUUCAGUUGUACGUAUCUUAUGAGUAUUAAUUAAAAUUACAAUCACGUAUUUCAACCCAGAAAUGUUGUUGAAAGGUUUCAUAUGUUUUUGUAUUUAUAUAAUUAAAAGGAUAAUUUAGUUAUGUCGAUGAGGAGUCAUUCCUUACAAAUAUGAUGAGAGUUGAGUUUUUCAUAAAAAUAGCUUUAUCAAUUAUGGAAAAUAAACAAAUUAGAAUUUUACAGAUUAUGGGGCAAAAAUUAAAGUGCAUCCCAUCUCCAUACAUUUAUUUCUGCAACAGCCUUAGCUAAAAGCAGCAUGGUCAUCUUAUAUGAUUAAUUCUCCCAAUAUUGUAUAUGUUCAUUUGAACAAGGGACUUAUUAAACCAAGAAUUCUAAAUAGUGCAGUUGACAUCAUCCCUUCGUAAAUUGUACGGACGCCAUUACGUGUUGGUUGACUGUUAUGGAAUAUCCCUUUCUUAGAUGAUAUUGAAUAUGUUUCUUACGUCGUAACUACAAUCAGUUCUCUUUUUACGAAUGUGACCUACCGAUUAGACAAUUUACUGGGUUUAUAUUAACAUGAGCAAAACGACGGAUGCCGCAUGUGGAGCAGGAUCUGCUUACUCUUCUGGAACACUUGAUAUUAUUCCCCCCAGUUUCUGUUGGGGUUCGUUUUGCUUAGUCGUUGGUUUUUUAUGUUGUGUCGUGUGUACUAUUGUUUGUCGGUUUGUCUUUUUUUUCCCUUUUUAGCCAUGGAAUUGUUAGUUUUUUUUCGAUCUUUGUGUUUAAAACAAUACUUUUUUUUAUAUAAUACUUCUGUCCUGAGAAAGGAAAAUGCAGUUAGAUAAAAAGAAAAUUUUGUAAAGUAAAAAUAAUAUCAAUGUCUUUAUAAAAUAUUAAAAAAAAUAUUUAAAAAACCAAGUCUCAUCUAUCAUAUAUUUAAACUUUGGUACAUUGGUCGUAAAAGAGAAACAAAUUUUGGUUGAAACAACCCUUUUUUUAAAUCAAUUAUUCAAAAAGUUCACUUGAAAGUAUUUGGAUUCAAAUAUUAAUGACGAUCUGCAAAAAAAUCUGCAUAAUACUGAAACUCGUCAAAUAAACCAAGCUUUCAAUUGGUCCAAUUAAUUCGAAUAUAUGACUUAAUUAUUUUUAUUAUCAAUUCAGUUGCUGGUUGAGCCUUGAAACAAAUCUUAUAUGGGCAUUUAUAGGACCGGCAUUGCUUGUAGUUUUGGUACGUAUCGAAAGUAAAGGGAGGGAUUAUAGCUAUUCGAAUUCAAUUCUACUAACUUAUGAAUAUAAUAUGUCAAUUACAGUUUAUAUACCGUAGACAUAAACACCUGCUUUCAUUCUGUAUUUUGCGGACACCAAGUGGCACUUUAUUCAUUUGCCUAUUGACUUCAUAUUAUUGUGACAACAAUACCGACCGCCUUUCUCAGAAUGUGAAAUACCGAGUUAAACCAUGCACCGGGUUUGUACUAGCAUGUACACAGGACGGGUACCCUUCUCGAGCACAUCGAUAUCAAUCACAGUUUUUGUUUUGGUUUGUGUUGCUCAGUCGUUAGUUUUCUAUGUUGUGUUUUGCGUAUCGUUGUUAGUAUUUUCAUCGUUUUUCGUUUUAUUGCCAAAUCAUUGUCCGUUUAUUUGGUUUGAUGAGUUCAAAUUUUCUUUUAGUAUCUUUUGCCUCUCUGCUCUUAAAACUCUUAAACCUUGCCAGAAACAUUUGAGCAGUACGUGAUCUCAUAAAUCCGGAUAAAACCUGCAUAUCUCAGCAGUACACAGUGCUGUGUUAUCUUUUUUAACCAAACAAUUGUAUAUUACAGAUUAACGUUGUUAUAUUUGUUAUAAUGGUACAUAAAAUGUUGACUAGUAGGGGAAUAGCUGGAAAAACACUUAAGGAGAAAUCUAAGUAAGUUAAUACACUACUUUUCACUUUAGAUUUGUUUUAAAUAUUUAACAAAACGUCCCCUUGAAUGAAAACUAAAUGUUAACAAGCCCUGUAACGAAUUAUAAACAGCAUAGCCUAUAUAAUCAAGGAAGAAACUUAAGAAUAAACACAAAUAACUCAUACAAUAUGAAUAUUUAUUUAAUUCUUGUAGUCAUAAUCAGUUCACCUGAAAAGUGAAAGGAGUACAGAAAAGGCUAAGAAAAUUUAAUAGCAAUCUAGCUACAUUAUGUAUGACUAAUAUUAAGAUAUAUCGAAGGAAAUAUAUAGAAAACUAAUAUGAGAAUGAAAUUGAUAUCUGCUUUUAAUCUUAUAUUCCAAAUGUGUUUGAAAUGCAUCGCUACUAUUGAAUUAAAUUUCAAAACUUUAUUUCGUCUGCUUAGGAUUGGUUUAAAAAGUAUCUGCAUUAUUUUGCCAUUGUUUGGAGUAACAUGGGUACUUGGUGCAGUUUCUGUGAAUGAUGAUUUGGUCAUGUUCCAAUACCUAUUUGCAAUUUUCAACUCUCUACAGGUAUUGUUUAUAUUUCUAAAAGGGUAUCUUUAACAACUGCAUUCAUGUGUUUUUUACACAAUGUCAAUAAAAAAGAUAUUGACAGAUAUCCUAACAGAUACAUUACGUUUGUACAUGUUCAUGCUUUAGAGACCGCGAUAUAAAAUAUAUGACAAACUAAAAUAAUAAAAAUGAACGACUGAAACCGAAAAUUCACUAGUUUUACAGUUACCUAAGUUAACGUUGUACGAUACGAUUUAGCUGUGUCUAAAGUAACUCGCAACAUGCCUUGCGCAAUCAGAAUAGUCGUAAGAUUAAACCGAUUUCGUCCUGUGUCCAGUCGUUUUAUAUUCACGGUUGUGACAUUUCGACAAGUGUCGAUUCGUAUUGCAGGAGAUCCACGGGUAGCAGGUAAUGCUCUUUCGUCUCGCUCCUGUUAGAGUUAAAAGAAUUACGUCAGUUUUAGUUUCUUUCCUUGAUUUGUAUCUGCUCGAUCGAUGAUGAGAUUUAGAUAUACACACAAUUGUUGACAACUACAAUUGAUGUAACCUGCUAAAAAAUCCAACUCAAUGCUGAACAUCAUUUUUGCUUUUGUAUAAUCAUCAGUCAUCGCGGAACAUUUAAAGAUAGAAUAAUCAUUUAAGUCAGAAUGAAAAUAGAUGUAUUAAAUGGAGAUAAAUAUUUUUAUAACAGGGUUUCUUUAUUUGUUUGUUCCACUGUUUCUAUAAUAAGCAGGUGAGUGUUACUGUAAAAAUAGAAGAAAUAUUAUAAUGGGAAAUAACUAUUUAGGAGAUAACUGUAUUGUAUUUUAAGCUUGGCCUCGUAAACGUAGAUUACUGUCGCAAAUGAGUUUACCUAGCGACGGGAGCGGGAUAGGUAAACGAAUUUGCGACAGUAAAAUCAGUUUUCAAAGCCAAGCUUAAAUACAUACAGUUAUCUCCAUUCUAUGCACAUUUAAAAAAUGUCAUUUACUAAUAUUUUAGCUUAAAAUGCGAUAAAUAAAAGUCCCGAACUGUUGCAUUGUCUUUAGCAUCUAAACAAUGUGACGUCAUGUGUUUACUCUGGUUCAACAUUAUACUAACAUAUUUACUUUUGUACGCUCAGAAUGGUUUCAAUAUAGACUAAAAGAAGAUUUGAGGCUCAAAAUGUGAAUAUCUUGUUAUUUUUUGAGAAUUACAUACCAGAAUUCAAAAUGGUGGCUUCUAUUACGGACUGUAGAACGUGGAAUCUAACCCCUCAAAAUAUUUAUCAACGUCCAAUGAAAAUUGUCGUUACAAACUAAUUGCAUUAGAAUUAAGUUUUUUGUACCAAUAGUCGAAUGAACACAAUCAAAACAAGCUUAUUUACAUCAGUAUAUCGUCGUUUUUGUAGCCUCAUUCGUCUACUUCCCAUUACUAUUGACAUACUUCGAAAUGACGUUUUAAAUCAUUCAUUAACAAGACACAAAACAAAUCCGUCAAACUUGCAUUAACAUUGUACAUGUGUUGUAAUUUGUUUUAACUGGCACUCUUAUCGGAGUAGUCAGAUGAUUUCUUAAAAAGCAAGUGCAAAUUAAAUGUUCAAAAAUUAGUAUCACAUCUUUAUUUACGAACAUAAAGUCUCACAACUACAUAACAAUUAAAUAAAAAAAAUACAUUUGAUUACACAAAUAUCCUUAUUUUACUAUUACGUUUAUACAUAAGAGUGAUCCCUAAUUAUAAGAUUAAUUGGCAAAUGUCUUCAAAUGGAAAUGUUUGAAUUAAAAAAAAACUGUAAAAAAAAGAAAAUAGAAAAAUUACAUAAAUGAUGAUUAGCAUUUAAAGUAAAGUAUACUAAAACUUACAAUCAUGGUGAGUGUUUCUAAUUCAUAUUGCACUUAUCUCUUAUAAAGAUAAAUUUCUCAACGUGUGCAUAUAUGUGUGUUAGUCAAGUUGUUGUUCACGUUUAUUUGCAACCGAAUGGUUGCUAACUGUAAUGGUUCAACAACAUUAACACUUACCAUUUAUGUAUUGAAUAUUCGUCUGAUAUUUACAUUGAACGAUUAUAUUCCUUAUUUUGAAUAUUUGAGUGAUCCUGGAUUUGAAUGCAGAUAGGGUGAUGCAUGCAUUUAAGGACGCACUAUUCAUUUUGAAGUAAAUUGAAUCGUUUCUCUUGAAGUCACUGAAUUAGUUUUAUUUGGUUAUUAUACAUGAACAAGAGCAUUCAAGUGGAUAUUUCUGUGAUCUAAUUCUAUUUGCGGACAAAAUUAAAAAUGGAAUUCUCAUUUAUACCAAAAAGCAACGCAAAAAAAAAUUGGUAAACAAAAUUGGUUAAAAAACAUUAAUAUUGCAGGCCUAGAAAAUAUCUUGAUAUUUAUAUAUCAUUGAAAAAUGACAAAAAUGCAAUAAUCUAAUGAGCUUUCAGUAGAUUUUUUUAAUGUUUUUAUACUAUCUUUUAUUCUCAUUGUUUCCAUGUUGUACUUUGUGUAAAUAAAAUCUUUGCAAGCUUAUAUUCAUUUAACACAUCAAAUAUUUUUAUGUUAUACUGUGCUUAGGUCAGACAAGGUUACAAUCAUUAUCAGAGACGUCGAAAAUCAAACCGUCUGGAUUCUAAAUUAUCUACCAAUUUAACUAAUACUGUGAGUAUAUGAAUAUCUGAAUAAGCAAAAUUUAAAAACAGACAUGAAGAUUUAUGCUGAUUCAAUAACAAAUCACCAUACUAUAAUCAACAAGGAUAUUUUCACAUAUUCAAACAAAAUUAAAAAAAUGUUUUUUUUUGUCUGAUUAAUGCCAUUUACGGUAAAUAACGAUUAUAUUUUUAUCUUUUUUUCUCAUUUAUCACAUGCAGAUUUAUUUUCGAUUUAUGAGUUUGACUGUCCCUUUGGUAUCUUUCGUCCCUCUUUUCUCUCACUACACAAAAGAUAAUAAAAAGAAAAACCGAAAACCACGGUUAAUUAAAAAAGAAGUCCAUUUAAAGAGUGACGAAAGGUAUCAGAGGGACAGGCAAACUCAUUAAUCGAAAAUAAACUGACAACGUCAUGGCUAAAAAUGAAUAAAGACAAUCAGACAAACAAUAGUACAUAUGACAUAACAUAGGAAACUAAAGAAUAAGCAACACGAACCGCACAAAAAAAUCUAGGGGUGAUCUCAGGUGCUCUGGAAGGGUAAGCAGAUCCUGCUCCACAUGUGGCACCCGUCUUGUUGCUUAUGUGAUUACAAAUCCGGUAAAUAGUCUUAUUCCUUAAGAUCACAUUCAUGAAAGGGAAGGGGAGUGUAAAUACGACGUAAGGAACAUAUCCGAUAUCAUUUGUGAAACGGUUAUUCAAUAACGUUCAACCAACUCGUGAUGGCGUCCGUGAAAUUUACGAAGAGGUGAUUUCAACUUCACCACUUGAAAUUCUUGGUUUAAUAGCUUUCUUGUGAGCAGCAACCCUCUAUCGAGAAAAUCAUGAUAGAAACAGCAACCCUCUAUUAAGAAAAUCAUGUAAGGAAAAUGCAAGCACAAUGUUUCACUAUAUCAACCAACGAAACGAACGAACAACAAAUAUCAUAUUCUUGACUUGGUCCGAUAUUUUCCGAAAACUGGGAUAAACCCGGUAAUAUAACUUAUGUACCUCUUACUUGUAUGGCAGUUGUUUAAACUAAGUACGUUUGUUCUACCAUUUAAAUUCAGACAUUGUCCAAUUGUCAACUUAGGACAUCCUUUGAAAUAGUACGAUCACAAUUAUGAAACACAAGUCUGCUCUGUUUUUUUCUCUCGUUUAUAUAUUUAUUUCCACUUGAAACGCAUGAGGUUGAACAUUUUCCAAAAUAGUUCGGUAUCGAGAAUCACUGAAAAUACAUUAUUUGUCAAAAAUGCGGAACUGAGGAAGUGAAUUGUUUUCCGAUUAAAACGUCUUAGUAUACGGAUAAUCGGAAAUGAUAAAAAAACUGCAUUCUAAACUAGUAAUAAGAUUCAGGGAUAAUGUUCAAUUAGAAAAUAAAAAAAUAUUAGACAUUUGAUAACAUGGGAAAGUGAGCAUUGAUAUAAAACAUCAUUAAAAAUGACAUGAAUGUUAAUGUGCCUUCAUGGGCUCCGGGAGUACCGAUUUUGUUUUAUCCUAGACCAUUGUGCAUCGUUAUCCUGUCUUAUAAGCUGUAACUUAGAUAACCAAAAUAUAAUAAAAGAAAGCGAAUAUUUAAAUCUGCAACAGAUCGUGUAAACUGUCAACCGAAAGCUGCGGAAACCGUUAGCUACAUCAAAGAAAUAAAAGAAGAUAGAAAACAAUUACUUAAUGUAUUACCAGUAUACGUAUGUCUGGCUUAUUGAAAAUAUAGACACGUUUCUUCAAUUUUUUGGUUUAUUGUCUAAAAGUUUUUCAUUCCGUCUUUUUGCUAUCAAUUAUAAUUUCUAUGAUUUUUUUUAAUAUAGGACAACACAAAAAGGACAACAAAAUAUCAACAACAAUAUAUGUGCUCGAAGGAAGAAUCACAGGAAAGAAUGUAACAAACCAUUUCAAUCCCAUCAGGUGCUACUUGGAAAGUACACACCAAUUGUAUUACAUGUAAUUCAUACUUUGAUGAUUGAAUUGGUUAUUUGAAUAAGUUGUACACUUCUGGUCGUUUUUUUAAUAUGCCUACUGUAAUGUUGUUCAUUUUUUAUUAUUGAUAAGGGUGUGUUUAUGUUUGUGUGUUUUGUGUAUGUUGUGUGUUUGUGUGUGUGUUGUUUGAAUCGUUUUAUUUUCACACAAACUAAUGAAUAAGGGCAGCAGUAGAGUUAUCACUGUUUGAAAUUCAUUAAUCGAUUGAGAAAAAGACCAAAUCUAGGUUAUCAUAUUAUAAACCAAAACUGUGGGAAACACAUCAAAUAUAAGAGAACUACUACACAACAGAAAAAAAAUAAAUAAAAUGUAACACACACAUAUAAACGAACUUUAAUAUAACCAUUGCCAUUUUCUUGACUUGAUACAGGACAAUGUGAUAAAACAAAAUUGUGGAUUGAACCUCGUUUUGUGGCAUGCAAAACCUCCCGCUUUUAUGGCAAUGUUAAAUAUAACAAUAAAAUGACAACAUUACAUGAUAGGACUACACUACAUAUGUAUGGGAAAACAUAUAGGUCAGAGAAACACGUGAAUAAUAGCUAAAAAAACAUGCCAGGUUAACAAUUUAACACGCCAAACGCGCGUUUCGUCCACCCAAGACUAACCAGUGACGCUCUGAUAAAAAAGUUCAAAAACCCCAAAAAAAAGGGUACAAAGUUGAAGAGCAUUGAGGACCUAAAGGCCCAAAAUGUUGUGCCCAAUACGGCUAUGAUUUUCUGCUUGGGAUAAGAACAUCUUUAUUAUUUGUUAUUAUCUUACUUUGGCAAAAUUUUUUUUUUAUAGAAUUGACUGAAUAACAGAUAUAAAGAUAUCUAAGUGUAAAUAUUGUAUAUGCAUUUUAGAUAGUCUCUCAUAACUCUUUUGAGAGUGGCUCUUGUAUGUUUUGUGAUGUUGUUUUAUUAACUAUUUGUAUGUUUUAUAUAAUAAAGAGGUGAUACUUUAAUGAAAUAUUGUCUUGUCUAUAAAUUAUAAAACCGCUGACUAACUACAAAAUGAAAACAGAUAAUGAAAACUUUUCAUAUAUACAUUCAAUUAUUCUUCUUAUGAUGCAAUGGCGACAACUUGUUUUGAAAUCCGGAGGCAUCUAAAAUCAGUACACCGUACACAAAGUAAUCAGUACAACAUGUAACGCCUAAUUUACCUCAGCUUAAAGGAGAAGAUAUACAUUUGAUCACGAUUGAAUAGUUAAAACGGAUUUUUUUUAUCUAUAUCAGUGCUUAUCUGCUAUAUAUUUUUAAUUAUUUUCCAUAGUAUUCGAUAACAAACACGUUUUCAAAUGCAAAAACAUAACAUCAUUAAUAGGAUACAAAAUGUAUUGGUCGGUAAAGGUUUGUCUAAAGGAGUGGCAAAUUUUAAUAACGAUUGCAACAUUAUACACAUGUUUAGAUUAUACCAGUGCAAAUCUGUACAAAUAUUGAAUGGUUACUAGCUUCACAGGAUGAAAGCAAGUACUUACUCCGUUCUGCCAAAAUAAUUAGCAGCAACUGUGAAACUAAAUCUGUAAAAUGUACACUUUGUGUCAAAAAUCUGAUGUUUUAACACGAAAUUUC
This 9198-nucleotide long non-coding RNA is filed under the name Mytilus galloprovincialis (Mediterranean mussel). The record is from RNAcentral. Lineage: Eukaryota; Metazoa; Mollusca; Bivalvia; Mytilida; Mytilidae.